UGAGGAAUAUUGGUCAAUGGACGGAAGUCUGAACCAGCCAAGUAGCGUGCAGGAAGACGGCCCUAUGGGUUGUAAACUGCUUUUGUAUGGGGAUAAAGUCAAUCACGUGUGAUUGUUUGCAGGUACCAUACGAAUAAGGACCGGCUAAUUCCGUGCCAGCAGCCGCGGUAAUACGGAAGGUUCGGGCGUUAUCCGGAUUUAUUGGGUUUAAAGGGAGCGUAGGCCGGAGAUUAAGUGUGUUGUGAAAUGUAGACGCUCAACGUCUGACUUGCAGCGCAUACUGGUUUCCUUGAGUACGCACAACGUUGGCGGAAUUCGUCGUGUAGCGGUGAAAUGCUUAGAUAUGACGAAGAACUCCGAUUGCGAAGGCAGCUGACGGGAGCGCAACUGACGCUGAAGCUCGAAGGUGCGGGUAUCGAACAGGAUUAGAUACCCUGGUAGUCCGCACAGUAAACGAUGGAUGCCCGCUGUUGGUACCUGGUAUCAGCGGCUAAGCGAAAGCAUUAAGCAUCCCACCUGGGGAGUACGCCGGCNACGGU
This 539-nucleotide ribosomal RNA is filed under the name uncultured bacterium. RNAcentral's name for it is "bacterial SSU rRNA". It matches the Rfam family "Bacterial small subunit ribosomal RNA", at positions 355 to 895 of the family's 1533-position model. The record is from RNAcentral.